CCUACUGGAGGCAGCAGUGAGGAAUUUUGGUCAAUGGGCGCGAGCCUGAACCAGCCAAGUAGCGUGAAGGAUGACUGCCCUACGGGUUGUACACUUCUUUUAUCAGGGAAUAAAGUGAGGCACGUGUGCCUGUUUGUAUGUACUUUAUGAAUAAGGAUCGGCUAACUCCGUGCCAGCAGCCGCGGUAAUACGGAGGAUCCGAGCGUUCUCCGGAUUUAUUGGGUUGAAAGGGUGCGUAGAUGGGUUGUUAAGUCAGUUGUGAAAGUUUGCGGCUUAACCGUAAAAUUGCAAUUGAUACUGGCAGCCUUGAGUACAGUUGAGGUAGGCGGAAUGCGUGGUGUAGCGGUGAAAUGCUUAGAUAUCACGAAGAACUCCGAUUGCGAAGGCAGCUUACUAAA
This 398-nucleotide ribosomal RNA is filed under the name uncultured bacterium. Its description in RNAcentral is "partial 16S ribosomal RNA". It matches the Rfam family "Bacterial small subunit ribosomal RNA", at positions 338 to 733 of the family's 1533-position model. The record is from RNAcentral.